UACAAUGUUUUGACUCUUCAUCUUAUUUAAAAUUUUAUUACGAUUAAUAUUUUUAUUCUUACUAGAUAAUAAAACAUGAAUAGUACUUUAUGCGUAACUAUUUUUUAAAAGUUUUUUUAUAAAUUUUUUAAAUAAGAUGAUUACUCAAACAUUAGAUACGGAAAAAC
This 167-nucleotide microRNA precursor is filed under the name Oryza brachyantha (malo sina). RNAcentral describes it as "MIR812 microRNA precursor family". It matches the Rfam family "MIR812 microRNA precursor family", at positions 27 to 190 of the family's 205-position model. The record is from Rfam by way of RNAcentral. Lineage: Eukaryota; Viridiplantae; Streptophyta; Magnoliopsida; Poales; Poaceae.